RNAcentral lists this ribosomal RNA (799 nucleotides) under uncultured bacterium. Its description in RNAcentral is "bacterial SSU rRNA". It matches the Rfam family "Bacterial small subunit ribosomal RNA", at positions 8 to 796 of the family's 1533-position model. The record is from RNAcentral.
AGAGUUUGAUCCUGGCUCAGAUUGAACGCUGGCGGCAUGCCUAACACAUGCAAGUCGAACGGCAGCACAGUCGUAGCAAUACGAUGGGUGGCGAGUGGCGGACGGGUGAGGAAUACAUCGGGACCUGCCCAGACGUGGGGGAUAACGUAGGGAAACUUACGCUAAUACCGCAUACGUCCUACGGGAGAAAGCGGGGGAUCUUCGGACCUCGCGCGGUUGGAUGGACCGAUGUUCGAUUAGCUAGUUGGUGGGGUAAAGGCUCACCAAGGCGACGAUCGAUAGCUGGUCUGAGAGGAUGAUCAGCCACACUGGGACUGAGACACGGCCCAGACUCCUACGGGAGGCAGCAGUGGGGAAUAUUGGACAAUGGGCGCAAGCCUGAUCCAGCAAUGCCGCGUGUGUGAAGAAGGCCUUCGGGUUGUAAAGCACUUUUAUCAGGAGCGAAAUACCACGGGUUAAUACCCUAUGGGGCUGACGGUACCUGAGGAAUAAGCACCGGCUAACUUCGUGCCAGCAGCCGCGGUAAUACGAAGGGUGCAAGCGUUAAUCGGAAUUACUGGGCGUAAAGCGUGCGUAGGCGGUGAUUUAAGUCUGCUGUGAGAUCCCCGGGCUCAACCUGGGAAUGGCAGUGGAUACUGGAUCGCUAGAGUGUGAUAGAGGAUGGUGGAAUUCCCGGUGUAGCGGUGAAAUGCGUAGAGAUCGGGAGGAACAUCAGUGGCGAAGGCGGCCAUCUGGAUCAACACUGACGCUGAGGCACGAAAGCGUGGGGAGCAAACAGGAUUAGAUACCCCAGUAGUCC